CGCACUCUUCGGAGUGAGCGGCGGACGGGUUAGUAACGCGUGGGAGCGUGCCCUUCUCUAAGGAAUAGCCACUGGAAACGGUGAGUAAUACCUUAUACGCCCUUCGGGGGAAAGAUUUAUCGGAGAAGGAUCGGCCCGCGUUAGAUUAGAUAGUUGGUGGGGUAAUGGCCUACCAAGUCUACGAUCUAUAGCUGGUUUUAGAGGAUGAUCAGCAACACUGGGACUGAGACACGGCCCAG
RNAcentral lists this ribosomal RNA (239 nucleotides) under uncultured bacterium. RNAcentral describes it as "partial 16S ribosomal RNA". It matches the Rfam family "Bacterial small subunit ribosomal RNA", at positions 67 to 334 of the family's 1533-position model. The record is from RNAcentral.